GAGUUUGAUCCUGGCUCAGGACGAACGCUGGCGGCGUGCUUAACACAUGCAAGUCGAACGAAGCUUGAUUUAUGAUUUCUUCGGAAUGAAUAAUGAUAUGACUGAGUGGCGGACGGGUGAGUAACGCGUGAGCAACCUACCCUUCGGAGGGGGAUAGCGUCUGGAAACGGACGGUAAUACCGCAUAAAGUGUCUUGACCGCAUGAUCGAGAUACCAAAACUGAGGUGCCGAAGGAUGGGCUCGCGUUGGAUUAGAUAGUUGGUGGGGUAACGGCCUACCAAGUCGACGAUCCAUAGCCGGACUGAGAGGUUGAUCGGCCACAUUGGGACUGAGACACGGCCCAGACUCCUACGGGAGGCAGCAGUGGGGAAUAUUGCACAAUGGGGGAAACCCUGAUGCAGCGACGCCGCGUGGAGGAAGAAGGUCUUCGGAUUGUAAACUCCUGUUGUUGAGGAAGAUAAUGACGGUACCCAACAAGGAAGUGACGGCUAACUACGUGCCAGCCGCCGCGGUAAUAC
Molecule: ribosomal RNA, 518 nt
Filed under: uncultured bacterium
Lineage: Bacteria
Description: bacterial SSU rRNA
Rfam family: Bacterial small subunit ribosomal RNA
Source: RNAcentral